ACCUCUAUAGUAUAGUGGUUGUACGCCAGGAUUAUCAAUCUGGCGACCCAGGUUCGAUUCCCGGUGGCUGCA
RNAcentral lists this transfer RNA (72 nucleotides) under Bursaphelenchus xylophilus (pine wood nematode). It matches the Rfam family "tRNA". Rfam says of the family: Transfer RNA (tRNA) molecules are approximately 80 nucleotides in length. The record is from Rfam by way of RNAcentral. Lineage: Eukaryota; Metazoa; Nematoda; Chromadorea; Rhabditida; Aphelenchoididae.